This 401-nucleotide long non-coding RNA is filed under the name Monodelphis domestica (gray short-tailed opossum). RNAcentral's name for it is "lncRNA (ENSMODG00000047147.1)". The record is from RNAcentral. Lineage: Eukaryota; Metazoa; Chordata; Mammalia; Didelphimorphia; Didelphidae.
AAGAAAAGAUGCUGACAUUCAAAACUUGGAAUCUAUUUCUCUUUUUUUCUUUAAGGAAAAAAGAAGACUGAGAUAAACUUCUAUGUAAAGAAAACACACCGUGUGUAAUAUAAUGGAAAUGAUAGCAACAGCCUGAAAUGAAAUGUGAAAAAAAUUAAAUCAUCCAGCUGAAAGUGCCUUAUUAUUUUAUAUUAUACCUUCUCAUUCUGAAUAACUACUGUUAGAGAAUAGGAAUCAUUGAUGGUUAAUAAUAGAAAUAACCACAGUCAGAGGCCAAAUCAAGAAGAAAAGAUAUGCACUUUGAAAAAAAAGAAAAACCUCUCUCAAGUGUUUUGAAUUUCCAUCUACUCUUGGAUGGAAGCAAUAUGAACAGUGUUGGAUCUGGAGUCAGGAAAAUCUAG